CUCCCUUCCACUCUCUCUAAAAUUCAAUGGAAAAAGACUACAUAUAGGUGUGAAAAUUAAAGCCUCUUUUGCAACCCAGAACUCAUUGUUCAGUAUGAGUUUUGAUACAUAUAUUAAGGAACAUU
Small nucleolar RNA from Molossus molossus (Pallas's mastiff bat), 125 nucleotides. RefSeq annotates it as small nucleolar RNA SNORA40. The record is from RefSeq and is a predicted model, not a curated record. The transcript has a single exon. NCBI's taxonomy places the organism in Eukaryota, Metazoa, Chordata, Mammalia, Chiroptera, Molossidae.